RNAcentral lists this ribosomal RNA (200 nucleotides) under uncultured bacterium. Its description in RNAcentral is "partial 16S ribosomal RNA". It matches the Rfam family "Bacterial small subunit ribosomal RNA", at positions 524 to 723 of the family's 1533-position model. The record is from RNAcentral.
UACGGAGGGUGCAAGCGUUGUCCGGAUUUAUUGGGUUUAAAGGGUGCGUAGGUGGCCCCUUAAGUCAGUUCUGAAAGCUGGUCGCUUAACGAUCAGGGGUGGAUUGAUACUGGGGGGCUUGGAUCAGGUGGCGGUUUCUGGAACGGGUCGUGUAGCGGUGAAAUGCAUAGAUAUGACCCAGAACUCCGAUUGCGAAGGCA